GACGAACGCUGGCGGCGUGCUUAACACAUGCAAGUCGAACGGAAAGGCCCUGCUUGCGGGGUACUCGAGUGGCGAACGGGCGAGUAACACGUGGGUGAUCUGCCCUGCACUUCGGGAUAAGCCUGGUAAACUGGGUCUAAUACCGGACAGGAGCCAUAUUGAGUGGGAUGGUUGGAAAGUUUUUGCGGUGUCGGGUGAGCCCGCGGCCUAUCAGCUUGUUGGUGGGGUAAUGGCCUACCAAGGCGGCGACGGGUAGCCGGCCUGAGAGGGUGGACGGCCACAUUGGGACUGAGAUACGGCCCAGACUCCUACGGGAGGCAGCAGUGGGGAAUAUUGCACAAUGGGCGCAAGCCUGAUGCAGCGACGCCGCGUGGGGGAUGACGGCCUUCGGGUUGUAAACUCCUUUCGCUAGGGACGAAGCUUUUGUGACGGUACCUAGAUAAGAAGCACCGGCUAACUACGUG
Molecule: ribosomal RNA, 464 nt
Filed under: uncultured bacterium
Lineage: Bacteria
Description: partial 16S ribosomal RNA
Rfam family: Bacterial small subunit ribosomal RNA
Source: RNAcentral